AGAGAGAGAACGCGCCAAAUUUACUCCAGGAAAAAAAAAAUGCACUUCUCACUCCCACUUAAGCAAUGUGAGUAAUGUUUCCUGGAAUCCAUUCCACUUUCCAAAUUUGACAGAUCCAAGGGAGGCAUUUUACUGAUGUUUAGUGAACAAAUGAAAUAAUAAAAGGAUAAAGUUUUAUUUAAAAAAUAGCCUUCUGUAUCUCUUCUCAGUCCAGUUCAACAAUGUAACAUUUACUGAGUACCAGCUUUGUCCCAGGUACUCUAAAAACCAGGGAUAUGGCGACCAAGUCAAGCAGCAGUUCCUGGAGCUCACAGACUAGGAUGUGAUACACAGGAAGAGCCAGACUGACGGGGUCAGGAAAGGUUUUUGGAGGAAGUGUCCAAAUCAAGGCCUGAAGGAUUAUUCAGAGCUGCUCAGUAGUUGCCACAGAGCUGCUGAUCCUGGCCCAUCACUGCUUCACGCUGACAUGCCACAUGGAGGGCAUCAUCCGAGUCUUGCAGGCUGCCCGGCUGCUCACAGACAACCACCUGGCCCCCAACGAGGAGUAUGGGCUGGUGGUGCGGCUCCUCACUGGCAUUGGAAGGUAUAACGAGAUGACAUAUAUAUUUGAUUUGCUGCAUAAAAAACACUACUUCGAAGUGCUGAUGAGGAAGAAGUUGGACCCGGUGGGUGUACAGUAUUUUGAGCUCUAAGAUGACAUGUAUUGUUGACAUUCAGGAGUCUCAGACUUUCUCAGGAAUACUCCCGGUCAGGGGGGGCCUGGGAUACGGAGGGAGGGAGUUAAGGACCUCCAUAGGACACACACUGUAACCAGUAGCUGAAGGUUCGAGUUCAGACCAAGCAGCGAUUAUGCUGACAGAUGCUAAAUAGGGAAGAAAAUUAGUUCAUGUGCCUCCACCUCAGCUGUCAGCGGCCUCCACUGUCCUAACGCCUGCUCUGACAGGUGCAAAAGCCUUCCCUUAGAGCCCUGUGGAAAUGGAUUGGCCAGCUCAGAAGGCCGCACCAGAGAGCUUUUAGAGUGGACAAUUUUCAGAGGACCAUGAAAACGUUUGUUGCUGAGAGCUAUUAGGAAGCGAAUGCCAAAGCCUGGGCUGGGAAAGCUGUGGUGCUGUUUCUGGCGACGACCAGGAAGGAGACUUGGAAGCUAAGGCCUGACCUGCCAGACCCACUGGGCUCUGGGCACUUGUCUGUCCUCCACAUGUGGCACCAACAUGUCACUCACAGAGCCUGUUUCCAAGUCAUUCAUUGCUUCAGCCCAUUCAUCUCUGAAGAUUUAAAAACCAUAGUACACUUUUGGCUUCUGGGAACUUAGGCCCAGCCAAGCAGGAUUAAAAGACAAAGCAGAAAAACUCUCAAUGCUGGGCUGAUUUCAGGCCAGGCCAGCGCAGUCAUCAGAAGAGGAGCAAGUCCGGGGCACCUGGGAUCCGCCCAAGGGUAUUUAAAUUGUUUUUGAGGCAUUUUUGUUUCUGUAUUUAAAUAGUCUUUUAAUACUUUUUUUUCCUCUGAUUACAAAAGUAAUGCAUAUUCAAUGUUAAGACACUUGGAAAACAGAACACAGAAAAAAGCCCUCUGUGUGUAUCUACCAUCUGGAGAUAGCUACUGCCAACAAUUUGGUAUAUGCCCUUUCUUUGCACACGUACCCACGUGUGUGUGUGUGUGUGUGUGUGUG
This is a long non-coding RNA of Hipposideros armiger (great roundleaf bat), 1669 nucleotides long. RefSeq lists it as uncharacterized. Lineage: Eukaryota; Metazoa; Chordata; Mammalia; Chiroptera; Hipposideridae. The transcript has 3 exons. The record is from RefSeq and is a predicted model, not a curated record.